Macaca fascicularis (crab-eating macaque) is the source of this 107-nucleotide small nuclear RNA. The record is from Ensembl. NCBI's taxonomy places the organism in Eukaryota, Metazoa, Chordata, Mammalia, Primates, Cercopithecidae.
GUGCUUGCUUCGACAGCACAUAUACUAAAACUGGAAUGAUACAAAGAAGAUUAGCAUGACCCCUGCUGAAGGAUGACACGCAAAUUCAUAAAGCAUUCAAUUUUUUU